This 397-nucleotide ribosomal RNA is filed under the name uncultured bacterium. RNAcentral's name for it is "partial 16S ribosomal RNA". It matches the Rfam family "Bacterial small subunit ribosomal RNA", at positions 523 to 918 of the family's 1533-position model. The record is from RNAcentral.
AUACGUAGGGGGCGAGCGUUGUCCGGAAUGAUUGGGCGUAAAGGGCGCGUAGGCGGCCCGGUAAGUCUGGAGUGAAAGUCCUGUUUUUAAGAUGGGAAUUGCUUUGGAUACUGUCGGGCUUGAGUGCAGGAGAGGUAAGUGGAAUUCCCAGUGUAGCGGUGAAAUGCGUAGAGAUUGGGAGGAACACCAGUGGCGAAGGCGAAUUACUGGACUGUAACUGACGCUUAGGCGCGAAAGUGUGGGGAGCAAACAGGAUUAGAUACCCUGGUAGUCCACACUGUAAACGAUGAAUGCUAGGUGUAGGGGGUAUCGACCCCUUCUGUGCCGCAGUCAACACAAUAAGCAUUCCGCCUGGGGAGUACGGCCGCAAGGUUGAAACUCAAAGGAAUUGACGGGG